Catharus ustulatus (Swainson's thrush) is the source of this 1030-nucleotide RNA transcript. It is a transcript of the gene named ubiquitin conjugating enzyme E2 T, with no coding region annotated. The transcript has 8 exons. Lineage: Eukaryota; Metazoa; Chordata; Aves; Passeriformes; Turdidae. The record is from RefSeq and is a predicted model, not a curated record.
GCGUGGGAGCCGGGCCUCCGUCAUUGCGGCGGGAGCGUUAAUUAGUUAGAGUGAGGGGGUGAUUAGUCAUCAGAGAGGGUGGAGGCUGUUCCAAAGGGGUUGUGUGAGGGCUCUUGGAGGGGUGAGGCUGUGCGUGGCCGUUCUCAUUCUUGGGAAGCGGGGCGCAGCUCUUGCCCGUGUGCGGGGAUCUGUCAGGAAUACAACUCAGUCUCGGAGCUCCCGCACCAUGCAGAGAGUGUCACGGCUGACAAGGGAGCUCUCGCUCCUGGCUACAGAGCCACCUCCAGGAAUCACCUGCUGGCAGAACGGGCAGCUCGAUGACCUGCGGGCACAAAUUUUAGGAGGUGUGGACACACCGUAUGAUAAAGGAAUAUUCAACCUGGAAAUCAUAGUUCCUGAAAGGUACCCAUUUGAGCCACCAAAGAUUCGCUUUCUGACCCCCAUCUACCAUCCCAACAUUGACUCUGCUGGAAGGAUUUGUCUGGAUGUUCUUAAGUUACCCCCAAAGGGUGCAUGGAGGCCUUCCCUGAACAUCUCCACCUUACUGACCUCCAUCCAGCUGCUGAUGGCAGAGCCCAACCCUGAUGACCCUCUCAUGGCCGACAUUUCCUCAGAGUACAAGUAUAACAAGCAGCUGUUCCUGCUUAAUGCCAGGGAGUGGACCAAGAAAUACGCAGGGCAGCUGAGGUUAAGUGGGCUCAUUUACUAAUAACUGCCAUGCUGCUCAAGGAUGAGGAGCGACAGAUGGAUAAACCCUUCCCUUGGAUCCUGCAGCCUUGUCCUCCCUCAGCUCUCUUCCCUGUCCUCCUGUGCCUGAUGCUCACCUGUGCCUGUUCUCCACCUGCUCAUCCAUUCACUGACUUGUCUCCCUAUUCCCUGGUGGAGUUCUGCCUUCUUCCCAUCAUGCUUCCUCUCCUACCUCCUUUCCUCUCUGUCACCACAGCAGCUUACAGACCUUUGGAAGAGAAAAUCAUCCAAAGUGAAACAAGCACCAGCAGUGAAUCGACCACGCAGAAAAGAAAAGGGGUUA